Molecule: long non-coding RNA, 488 nt
Organism: Cyprinus carpio (common carp)
Lineage: Eukaryota; Metazoa; Chordata; Actinopteri; Cypriniformes; Cyprinidae
Exons: 3
Source: RefSeq, a predicted model, not a curated record
AGACUUCAGUGACUGGAUCAAACAUGUCCAACUAUUCAACUUUACUGCCCAAAACUGAACAUAUGAACCCAACUGAGCCGUCUGUGAACACUGUGCACAUCUCAGCAGAGAGCAAACACCUGAUUUCUGCAUCUACAGGCGUUCCUCCUAGUAUCCCAACAGCAGGUCCUCGGUUCCAUGCCGGUAGUUUCAUUGGCGGUAUGAUGCUUUCCUUAUUAUCAUACUGGUCGUCACUCUGGGCUACAGGUUGGCCUGCUCACAACGGGAAGUGCACUACAGAGUCAUUGAGGAACAUGAUGCCAUCAUUUUAAAUGGAGCCGCUGAGGAAAUGCAGGCUAGAACACAAGCUAUAGUCAGAAUCUGAAGAGAACAUUUUCAUCAUAAUGUGGUUAAGUCUGGUUUUAUACAUUUAAUAUUGUAAAUAGGUUAUUCCCAGCAGUUUUUAAACUUUAAGUAGUGAAUACUUGAACAAUGUAAUUUUCUUUUUU